AGCCGAUGAUAAACUUAUACAUAUAUCGAGGACUCAAGUACCACCAUCCUCUUUCAUGAGGGUGCUUCUUUAGAAUAAACAAUGCUCUAAAGAGUGAAGUACUUGGUUGGAUAUGAAGCCAAUCAAUGAUAAAAAUAGUGAUCACCCAAAUAGAGUUCAGAGUGAUCUAGGUCGAAAGAACUCUAAAGAAGUCAAAAAUACUAGAGGUGAAGGGAUGGAAAGGCAAUCGAAGAUUAGCUCAGAGAGUCUCUUCGUACGUGGUGACUUGACCCUCUGGAGUACUUGAAAUACAAUUUUUCUGACUUGGAGCUUCAAGCUAGAAAGUAGACAAAAUAGAGUACUGAGAUCGAAUCCUCCAAAGGUCAGACUCAGCAAUGGAUGACUCCUCGCUCCUAGGAUUGAAGAUGUCUCUGAAUCCCUGCAUAGGAUUCUCCGCACCAUGUGGUUUGGGACCCCCAUGCUUAAAUGAAGAAGUGACCUCAGUAGUGGUUCGAGGACUCUCCUCAGACCCAGACC
This 516-nucleotide long non-coding RNA is filed under the name Elaeis guineensis (African oil palm). RNAcentral describes it as "long non-coding RNA (EGUI_LNC051159)". The record is from RNAcentral. Lineage: Eukaryota; Viridiplantae; Streptophyta; Magnoliopsida; Arecales; Arecaceae.